GACGAACGCUGGCGGCGUGCUUAACACAUGCAAGUCGAACGGAAAGGCCCUGCUUUUGUGGGGUGCUCGAGUGGCGAACGGGUGAGUAACACGUGAGUAACCUGCCCUUGACUUUGGGAUAACUUAAGGAAACUGGGGCUAAUAUCGGAUAGGAGCCCCUGUUGCAUGGUGGGGGUUGGAAAGUUUCGGCGGUCGGGGAUGGACUCGCGGCUUAUCAGCUUGUUGGUGGGGUAGUGGCUUACCAAGGCUUUGACGGGUAGCCGGCCUGAGAGGGUGACCGGCCACAUUGGGACUGAGAUACGGCCCAGACUCCUACGGGGGGCAGCAGUGGGGAAUAUUGCACAAUGGGCGGAAGCCUGAUGCAGCGGCGCCGCGUGCGGGAUGACGGCCUUCGGGUUGUAAACCGCUUUCGCCUGUGACGAAGCGUGAGUGACGGUAAUGGGUAAAGAAGCACCGGCUAACUACGUG
Molecule: ribosomal RNA, 468 nt
Filed under: uncultured bacterium
Lineage: Bacteria
Description: partial 16S ribosomal RNA
Rfam family: Bacterial small subunit ribosomal RNA
Source: RNAcentral